ACGACCUUACUCUUAGGGAUCAUUUCUAUAGUAAGUGUCGCCAGGACGUCAGGUAACACUGACGGGACCUAACACCACGAGGACGAGACAAAGUGCACCCUUCUGAGCGCGAAGCGGGCAGGGACCGCCGCUGGUACAUAGCAGCACGGCUCCUGUUAUUGAUGAACGUUCCUCUCCUCCCAAAGCGGGGAGCUGGAGGAAGGGUGCACAUUCUGAGUGGU
Molecule: small nucleolar RNA, 221 nt
Organism: Mya arenaria
Lineage: Eukaryota; Metazoa; Mollusca; Bivalvia; Myida; Myidae
Product: small nucleolar RNA U3
Exons: 1
Source: RefSeq, a predicted model, not a curated record